CUACGGGCGGCUCCAGUGGGGAAUAUUGGACAAUGGGGGAAACCCUGAUCCAGCAAUGCCGCGUGUGUGAAGAAGGCCUGCGGGUUGUAAAGCACUUUCGGUUGGGAGGACUGCUUCUAGCACUAAUAUUGUUGGAAGUUGACGUUACCUUCAGAAGAAGCACCGGCUAACUCCGUGCCAGCAGCCGCGGUAAUACGGAGGGUGCAAGCGUUGAUCGGAAUUACUGGGCGUAAAGCGCGCGUAGGCGGCUAGAUCAGUCGGGUGUGAAAGCCCCGGGCUUAACCUGGGAACUGCAUCCGAUACUGUCUAGCUCGAGUACAGGAGAGGAGAGUGGAAUUCCACAUGUAGCGGUGAAAUGCGUAGAUAUGUGGAGGAAUACCAAUGGCGAAGGCAGCUCUCUGGCCUGAUACUGACGCUGAGGUGCGAAAGCGUGGGGAGCAAACAGGAUUAGAUACCCUUGUAGUC
RNAcentral lists this ribosomal RNA (465 nucleotides) under uncultured bacterium. RNAcentral describes it as "partial 16S ribosomal RNA". It matches the Rfam family "Bacterial small subunit ribosomal RNA", at positions 339 to 795 of the family's 1533-position model. The record is from RNAcentral.